RNAcentral lists this ribosomal RNA (439 nucleotides) under uncultured bacterium. RNAcentral's name for it is "partial 16S ribosomal RNA". It matches the Rfam family "Bacterial small subunit ribosomal RNA", at positions 338 to 795 of the family's 1533-position model. The record is from RNAcentral.
CCUACGGGAGGCAGCAGUGGGGGAUAUUGCACAAUGGGCGAAAGCCUGAUGCAGCGACGCCGCGUGAGGGAAGACGGUCUUCGGAUCGUAAACCUCUGUCUUUGGGGAAGAAAAUGACGGUUGCCAAAGAGGAAUCUCCUGCUAACUACGUGCCAGCAGCCGCGGUAUUACGUAGGGAGCAAGGGUUGUCUGGAAUUACUGGGUGAAACGGGAGCGUAGGGGGGUUGGCAUGUAGAAGGUUAAAUCCAUCGGCUCAACCGGUGGCUGCGUUCUAAACUGCCGUUCUUGAGUGAAGUAGAGGCAGGCGGAAUUCCUAGUGUAGCGGUGAAAUGCGUAGAUAUUAGGAGGAACACCAGUGGCGAAGGCGGCCUGCUGGGCUUUAACUGACGCUGAGGCUCGAAAGCGUGGGGAGCAAACAGGAUUAGAUACCCCUGUAGUC